Dermacentor albipictus is the source of this 2342-nucleotide long non-coding RNA. RefSeq lists it as uncharacterized. The record is from RefSeq and is a predicted model, not a curated record. NCBI's taxonomy places the organism in Eukaryota, Metazoa, Arthropoda, Arachnida, Ixodida, Ixodidae.
CUCGAAGACAUAGACAACCGAUAACAUGCUUCCUAAUCCAAGCAAAUAUAUAAACAAUCUGUUUUGCUUUAUUCGCAACUCCAGCAAUUCAUGCGACACCUAGCGGCAGUAGGGAGAAACGAAAUACAGAGGUCCAGUCGCCGUGUGUGCCGUGGAGGCUGCUGUCGCGGACGGAAGAAUGAAGCUGCUAGCAAAGAAAAAGCGAACGGCCAAGCAGUUCUGCUGUGUUCCUCGGUGCGUGCCAGCGAGAUGGAAGGACCGCGAUAUUUCCGUUCACGCACUUCCCUCCGAGUGGAAAGGCUGAAGCCGCAGAACCAGGUGGAUCGCUAACCUCCGCAUCGGCAAGGCUGUGACGCUUACAGUGACUGUUUGCUCACGGCAUUUUGCACGGGAUAAUUUCUCCUUACCAGAUGUAGCAUGUCAAAGACAGCGGCUGAAAAAAAUGCAAUACCAACUGAAAACCUGCCAAGGACGUCAUGUUAUGAUGAGAACAAGGAUGCUCAUAUGAAAGAGCUUUCACUGGCAAGACUUCGCUGACGUGUGUAUCGGUCAGCCAGAGUAAGUUAAUUUGACUACAUGGUGCAGCACUUAUAUGCUUAUGGUACAUACACCAUGUCUCAAAGCAUGCAAUAGAUGUCAACACCUUUUAAUGCAUUACAGAAUGAAUCAAGCAAAGAAACUGUUGCCUCCCCAUUAGAAGCAAAGGUGUUGCCCCAUGCACCUGUCAGCACGACCACCAUGGUAAAUUGGCUGCCUGCAACUUGUGCACACAUUGCUUCACCACUAAUUCCUUGGGAUUAAACUCUGACAUUGCAGGACGAUCUCCCAUCCCCUGACCGCAACAGCAUGGACCAAAUAAGUGACAAAGGAAAUAUGGUAAUUUCUUUUUGUAUAUGUAUGUGUUGUGGUAGCUGUCUUUACCUAGACGGUGGCAUGCUUUCUGGAUUUACAUCGUAAAAGCAUUGUAGCACGUGGUGUGUGAUGGGUGCACAUUAAUUGCAACUUGUGCACACAUUGCUUAACCACUGGUUUCUUGAACUGAACUCUAUCUGACAUUGCAGGACGAUUUCCCAUCCCCUAACAGCAUUGACCAAAGCCUUGCAAACACCAUAAGGGACAAGGACAUAGCAAAUAUGGCAAUUUAUUUUUUCUAUAUAUUUGUGAUGUGGUAGCUGUCUUUACCUAGCCGGCAGCAUGUUUUCUGGAUUAAUUCGUGAAAGGAUUGUGGUGUGUGAUGGGUGCAAAUUAACUGAUGCAAAAAGCUUGGCUUUCCUACUUCCAACAUUGAAUUUAAUACACUGACGUGCAUUAUUGGAAUGACAAAAAGAAGCUGCAUUUCGCGUCAGAUAUGUCAGACAUUACAACUCUUGCUUUUGUUUUGUGACAGGAAUGUGCUUGCCAACCUGGCCUCCAGACAUUAAUGGCAGAGUACUCAAGAGAAGAAAAAGACGUGGCAAAUUUCCUACUAGAAAUGGCUUCACGGACAAGGCUUACAGAAAGCAAGGCUGCCCAAGUGACAUCGGGUACUUUUCCACAGAAGUUUGUGAACACGAUAAAUAGUAGCGACGUAAAUACAUUCACAGGCCUGCCAUCAUUCGAUGUUCUGAAUGCUCGUGUGACGUGCUACACAAAAAUUCAUCCACUUUCAGGACGGCACCAGUUAUGUGUAAAAACAAUUGCAUUGACAUUGGUGAAAUUGAAGCAUAUUUCCACUGCAUUCUUGAGUCACCUUUUUAACUGUUCUCUAACUACAUGUAGCAACAUAAUUGCAGAGACUGCUCAGUUGAUGUGUGAAAUUUUAAAAGUAACUGUGGCUGUGCCACCAAAAGAUGAAUUCCAGUGGCGCGUUUGCAUAUUCGGCAUUAGGUGAUUCACCUGAAGUCGUGCCAUGGCUGGCGAUAUUGCAAGUAGCCUGUAUUGCAUAGAGGCAUUUGUGCGUGUGACCUUGGCUCCAUCAAAGCGUGGCGGCCUUGAGAGUAAGUGCAGUCUUCUGUUUGGAAAUCCAGCAUUUUUUAUGCCACUCAGCCACUUCAUACUUUUCAGACACGGUCGUUGCCAUGUGAUCUACAUGCUGCACUUGUUUGCAUUGGCCAAACCUGCAGACUUCAACUUCAACACACUUUUUGUAAAUUAGCAAUGCACAUUCUUUUGCAACUUGUAUUCUUCAUUGAAGUGCUGAUUUACACUACGCAUUCUGAUGCAAGUUUUCAUCUUAUGGUAUUCCGAGAUAUUUGCAGUUCACUUAUGAUCUGUGUGCAUAGAGUUGUGGUUAUUCUUCAAUGGCGGUUUGUUGUCCCUUUCCUUACUUGUAUUUUUUCACAAAAUAAACCACAUGCACUCAA